Molecule: long non-coding RNA, 3214 nt
Organism: Liolophura sinensis
Lineage: Eukaryota; Metazoa; Mollusca; Polyplacophora; Chitonida; Chitonidae
Exons: 3
Source: RefSeq, a predicted model, not a curated record
UUACUGUUCCUUCUGUCUGGUAAAAGAAUCCAUCCUGUGUGCAGUAUAGCCCUGACCUGCAUGUGUCUGUGCCCUGAUCCCCACAUCAGUACAACAGCAGAGGGCAUAAGAGAGGGUUGCUAGCUAUCACAUGUCUGCUGGAAUGCCUCCAGAUCAUGGGGUGUCAGAAAUCUGCUAUCAAUUGGCAUUUCAGUUAUCACCUUGUCAAGGCUCAAACUGGGUGUUUGUAUUCUAAACAAUGAGCUCACUUGGCAUAGGUCCUUCUAAACCUGUUCCAGAGGCUGACCAGCCAAGCCUGAACCUGGACAACAAAGACCAGUGGCCACUGAGGGGUUGUCAGAGUACAUACAGGAUCUACCUGUAGAUUUCAGGGCUCAAUACACGGCCUGUUGUGCAGACUGCGGGCACAGCCUGGUGCGGACACUUCAAUGGCGACAACUCUUACUCUUCUGCAAUCUUCAAACCAAACACACGAUGUCAAGACUUGAUUUGAACUGAAAGGAUUUUCUGUAUCGUGUUUCAAUAUCCCCUCAGCACAACAGUGAAGGACCAAGCCCAUUUUGCAAUACUAUCUUGAUAGAUAUGGAGGCAAACAGAUCAAUCUGUGGGAGAAGCAGAGUUUGGUUUGUGGAGAGAGGAUUUACAAGUAAUCCACACCAACAAGCGUCUUCAUAACGUCAAGCGGUAACUUGAUUUGGCACCUGUCUCCUUGCUCUCUUUGAGUAUUUGGAGAGUUUAGCCUGCUGAAUUGGACCCUUCAUCUCAACAGGCAAUGUGAACAACAGACUUCCUCACUGUUAUCACUAAACCCAUGAACAACUUCACUGGAAGUCUGAAGCAGUAUGUAAAAUUGUUUUUUUUUUUUUCAUAAUCAGAAUACAUGUGAGCAUUUUGUCCCUGUUUGUAGUUCAUCCCAGAUGUUCCUUGAAAUAGUCUGAGAAGUAUUGUUAGUGUAAAAGUUUGUGAACAUUUAAUGGGUUUCCUUGAAGUGAAAAUAAAGUUGUUGACAAGUACUGAUAUCAAAGCUCAUCUCGCCUUAAUCCUUUGCAGGACAAAGAAAAACAGCAAGCACACAAUACUUCAAGACCAUAUGGCUGCCUGAAAGUGUAAGCAGUUCACUGGUUUAAGGUAAAUGUUAGAUUUGAAGUAAAAAGAAAGUACAGUCAGGCUACUGAAAACUAUGCAUAAAAAUGCUUUCAAUUAUUUUUGUCUACAUUGUUUGAGGAGUGUUAAAUACAUUCUUACUGAAUUUUAUGGCAUUGGCCUUUACACACUACAUGUAUACUGUCGAUAUUUAAAAAACCUGAUGUCAUGCCAGCUGUUUUUUUUGUUUUUUUUUGUUUUUGCAAGACAAUAACAAACAAAAAAACAAUCACUUUGUUGUAACUGUUGUUAAAGAGUCUUUUAUUUUGGAAAAACAAAAAGUGUCCAAAUGCAUCUGACGUAUGUCCAAAAUUUCCUAACUGUGAUAGCCUUGAUAGUUCCCGACCAAUUAAUGACCUGUACAGGAAAGCUGUUUAUCAUGCAUACUUGAGUAUAUGCUCAGAUUCUCCACUGUUGGGUAGAUUUCUGAAUCAGUUAACAAAUGAAGAGAAUAUUUCAUAUUUUUCAACCACUGAAGAAGAGUGUCUCAAAUUACCUGACAUCAUACUAUAUUUCCUUUCAAAAUUUAAGCACAUUGUACAUAGGCAUGGGCCAUCUAUAAGGAUUCAUGCAAAGUGAAAUCCUUACUUACAGGAAAUACUUACAGGAAAUACUUACAGGUACCUUCAUCAGGACAAUUAAUAGCCUCAGUCAUUAAUCUGUUACAGAAGUCUUUCUGAACGUUACUUAUGGUUGGUUCCUUCACAUUUUACAUCAAAAAAAAAGUUAUUAAAUGUGUUUACUGAUACAUUAAAAUGUAAAUGUAAGGAUCUAUAUUGUUAAGAUCAUUAAUAUGAAAUCCUUAAGAAUUUAAAGGAUUCUUAAUGACUUUACCAACAAGGUAUUAAUAAUUUAUUACAUGUACCACUAUCAUACUAUGUUAGCUCAAAUCUAUUGCACAGGAAUAUAAAUACUUUUCUUGAGAAGAGUUUUCUUGAGCAUUUAAAUAGUAAUGGAAAUUACACCAGUUACAUGUGAUUUAUUUACUGGCAAUAAAACCCAUCAAUGAUAAUAAAGACUCUGGAGCAUGAAGAUUAAAUGUUGUGAUGUUAUCAUGUACCGGUACAAACACAAACAUGUCUGCUGCGUGAUUAUAGCUAGAAGUACAUGUACAUGUACUGUAGAGGUUAGUAUGUGAAGAUAGGUCAGUCUUACAGGUACUUGGCUAAUUAACAGUGCCCUAAGGGAAUUUAAUUUGCACCCAGGCUUCUGCUCUUGGAUUUUUUAGAUACAAAAUGGAGCCUUCCGAUCGCAAACAUGAGUGAAGUGAAAGAGACAGGGUAUGUUCUCAUUAUCUAAGCCUGAUACCGUGUAACAACAAAACUUACAUUAUUAAAUGAAAUUUCAGGACAAACAAAUUAAAACAUUGAAUUAUUGUGUAAAAAUAUAGGAGUAUUUUUUCUCAAUUUUUAGUUCAUAUCAAAAGAUAAAAAUUUUUUUUAAUUAUACAUGUGUACCUAAAGAUUUAGCUCUAUUCUUCAAUGUGAUUUACUGUACAUGACGUACUUAAAUUUUUUUUUCUUCUUCAGCAGUACGGCAGCCAAAGCACAUGUGUCAUAUACAUAAACCUUAUCGGGAAAGUCGAUCAGCUGUAAAGAAUCACAUUGGCCUGCCUUUAUAUGAUAAGUCAAUAAUGGCAGCAAACCCAGUUUAUGACACAAAACGAGAACAGUGAUUCUGGUCAGGAGAAAACAAAAUAACAAGCAAUUAUUUGCUUCUUCAUGAUUUAUCAACAAAGAUAUUGUGAUUUAUUAUUUUUACUGGGCAAUACCUGUUAGUGCCUGGCACAGCUGCCCAUCACUGUAGCCAGAACCCUGUGCUCCGGUAUCCAUUUAAUUAAAAACAUAGGAAUCUUAAUUCAUCCAUUCUGUCCACAACCUUUCAUCUAAUGGACUUCAGACUAGCCAGCUGUAUUGCUGAGAACCCAAGGAAGAACAGUAUGAAGUAAUAAUAAUUACUUGUAUGGACAUUAAGCAAUGAUGAUGUCACAAAUGGGCACUGCACAGCAGCACUAGUUCUCAUGAAAGAGAUGAAUAGACAAUUAUAGGGAAAGCUAUAAGAAGGGGACUCA